RNAcentral lists this ribosomal RNA (484 nucleotides) under uncultured bacterium. RNAcentral's name for it is "bacterial SSU rRNA". It matches the Rfam family "Bacterial small subunit ribosomal RNA", at positions 28 to 526 of the family's 1533-position model. The record is from RNAcentral.
GACGAACGCUGGCGGCGUGCUUAACACAUGCAAGUCGAGCGGUAAGGCUCCUUCGGGGGUACACGAGCGGCGAACGGGUGAGUAACACGUGAGUAAUCUGCCCUUCACUUCGGGAUAACCAUCGGAAACGGUGGCUAAUACCGGAUACGACACUCUCCUGCAUGGGAUGGGUGUGGAAAGUUUUUUCGGUGGGGGAUGUGCUCGCGGCCUAUCAGCUUGUUGGUGAGGUAAUGGCUCACCAAGGCUUCGACGGGUAGCCGGCCUGAGAGGGUGACCGGCCACACUGGGACUGAGACACGGCCCAGACUCCUACGGGAGGCAGCAGUGGGGAAUAUUGGACAAUGGGCGAAAGCCUGAUCCAGCAACGCCGCGUGAGGGAUGACGGCCUUCGGGUUGUAAACCUCUUUCAGCAGGGACGAAGCGAAAGUGACGGUACCUGCAGAAGAAGCACCGGCCAACUACGUGCCAGCAGCCGCCGUAACAC